AAAAGGGACCCUAAAAAGCAAUUAGUGAUGCUGCUUGUAAAUGAAGAGGCAGCUCGCUUAGGGUGGGGAGCUGAGAGCUGGAGGCAGCCCCCUCAAAGGCAGUGGAGAACCGGGACAGUGACUGGCAUCCAGGGUCUGUGCCUCUGGCCCCUUGGUCACUGAUGACCACGAAGGAAUCCCCAAGCUUCUGAGUGAGGGGAGACUGCCUUCUCCUUGCAGCUGAAAACAAAUGCUCGCGUGCUGGAAGAUGCAACACAUGGAGCAGAACCAAGUUGAUGUCAUCAUGGCAGAAGCCAUGCUAAAGCAGUCAACAACCAGCCAAUUCCCAUUUAUGGGAGCACAUCCAACCAAGAUCUGCAGCACCACCUAGCCAACUGGUAGACUUAUGAGCAAUAAUAAGUAGUUUUUAAUCCAUCAAGUUCUGAAAUGAGUUACUCAGCAUUAUUGAGGCAAUGGAUAACCUACACAUGUAUAACAGCAUCCAAGAAGUCCUGCAAUGAAGAAACAUGUUCUAGUUGGUAUAAACUAGGGUUUCCCAAGUGUGUUUUUAUGGUAUAACUAAUAACACUUUGCAAAACAAUGCUGCACAACUCCAGAUUGGGACAUUCUUCCAGACUUAUCCAGGAACAGCAUGAAAGAAGUAUAAAUAGUUUGUUUUAAUCCUAAAUUAUUGGUAACUGUCUCUGGUGUUUGUGGUGAAUUGGUCCUUAGCAACCAUUUCAACUCCAUGCUACACACCUCCUGAUGCUACAGAGGUUGGAAAAUUAAACAUUACAUUUCUCAGACUCCCUUGAAGCUCUUUUUUGGAUGAAAAUUAACCUUCAUCCGUUAGAGGCACUCUCAUAAGAUUUCGAAUGUAAAAGGGAGGCAGCACUAUUGUUCUGUUCUGGCCUUUGCUGUUGACAAGCAAACCUUUUUUUUUUUUCCUCGUGAAACAACAUUCCAAUAUCUAGUUUAACUUCUGGAUAUUAAGUGAUGGUGGCAGGGGUGGCCUCUUGCUUUAUCACAACCCCAUUGUAUGUUCUCGAAUCAACAAUUCCAAAAGAUGUGGCAAAGGUGCCACUUCCUUGGCACCAGUUUUCUGGGAGUCAGCCCUGGAAGCCCAGCCUAAAACUCUCUUCUUCAACUCUCACAACAGCUUACUAAGUAACCAGAUCUCUUUCUGCUUAAAAUAACUAGAGAGGGUUCUGUUUCCUGUACUGAUUGAUGACUGAUCCUAUAUCUAACUGUCUGAGACUAAAUUCCCUAAUCUGUAAAAAUUAGAGUUAAUAAUAUCCUCCUUGUGAGCUCAUGAAAUAAUGAUUAGCUCUGUACCUUGCAUAUUGUAGAUGCUCAUAAAAGGUAUUCAUCUAAUAGGACAUUAUCUCUUUAAGAAAUACUAAUUUGAUUUUUCACAUUUUAGCAGGAGAAGGAGCCAGUAACAAAUUGUUAUAUACAUUUGUAUGGUGAAAACAAUCAUUAUUUAUGCAUACUUGGGUCUUUUCAGCUCAAAAAAUUAAAGUUCUUUGUCUGCCCCCAAUUCCAUCUUUCUCUAUUUUCUCCCUCACACCCCAGGAACCUAAAAGGGUUUACUACUUUGCUGCUUCAAUUGCUUCACCUCCCACUCAUCUCAAUCUCUGUCAAUCCAGAUUGUAUCUGGUUAAUUCCACAGAAACUCUAAUUAAAAUCAACUGUCCAAGUCAUUUAGGAAUACGUCACCUCUCAAUGUAUUUGGUACCUAAGUUUCAACUGGCAGAAUUAAACACUCUCUCCCUUUAGACACAUUUUUUCUUUACUUAGCACAACCAAUAAUCUGUUUCCUUUUCUUUUGGUCAUAUAGUGAGACUACAUUUCCCAGUCUCUCUUGCAGUUAAGUGAGUCCUAGUGACUAAAUUUUAAUCAAUGGAAUGUAAGUGGAAGUGGUGUGUGCCAUUUUUGAGCCAAAGCUUUUAAGAAGUGGGUAGGUCCUUCUAUGCUCUCUUUUUUUCUAUUCUAUUGACUUAAUAAAGAUAAUGGCAAAGCUUUAAGGGAGAGUGGAUCUGUGAGAUUAAAAUAAUCUAUAGAACCUGGGUCCCUGAAUGACCACGUGGCAGAGAGUAACCCAAGAAUUAAGGAUACUGACCCCAGACUGGUAUAUAAAUGAGAAACCUCUACAGUGUUUGAGUCAUCUUUCAGUUUUGGAUGUAUUUGUCACAAGAGUGUAGCUUAUUCUACUACUAAUUGAAGUAGUAUAAUAUUAGUGAUGUCAUGUUAUAAUUAAAAUCUAAAAUACGUGGCAAUUGCUUAGUAUUUGGUUGUCAGAUGGUGAGAAAACAGAGCUGCCGGGGACCAGAGAUCCCUGGUUCUAAAAGAAAACAUUCGAUAAAACAGUUGCUGCAGCAAUUGGAAGGCAGAAGAAAUAUCUUUGGAGUUUGUAUUUCAACGUGAAGAAUUUGGAAAAGCCAGAUGUUAGUGUGUGUUGAUUAAUUCUUGGUAUAGUCCAAGGAUUCUAGGAAAGAGGUACUCUCAGGCAAAAAUUACCAAAAAAGUGUGUGUGGAGGGAACAGAGAAAAGAGAAAGGGUCCAAAAACAGGGAACCUCAUAGAAAAGAGUUAUUUACUUCUGGACCCUAAAUAGCAGGAAAUAACAGAAAGAUGUUAAGUAACAAAAGACCCCAGAGAUUUCUCAGUUAACUAGAAGGACCCGGGUUUGUAGCAGAAUUCAGAUUGUGUUGCCUUCCUAGCCAUGGCUAUGGCUUGAGAUAACCUCCAGUGAGGCAACAUUAAGUUGAGAGGAAGAAAGAGGUAGGAGGUGAGAAAAUGAAUAAAUGAAGCAGGCUGUAAGAGCAUGUUUAGGUAAGAAUUUUAAAUUUAGUCAUUGGUCCUUGGAACUGGCUAAAAGCAAAUAGAUUCUAAAACAUUUAUCUAGGAUCAAAUCAAGGAGCUUCCUCCACUACCAGGUCAAGGGUUUUGUCAUUGCUGAAGACUCAAGGCUGCUAGUUUACCAUUCUUCUCUGAAUUGAAGAGAGGACAUUUGUUGCAGGUAGCCUGUCCUUGUUUCACUGUUACAUACUGAGUGUAUUGUAGCUGUGUGCCAGGGUCGGGAGGGAGAUAUAUGGGGUCGGAUAACUAGUUUUUAUUUUAACUUGCUGGAUCACAAGGCGCUACAUCUGGACCUGAUGAAGAGGAUUGCGUAUGACCCAGGAAUUGGGACUUUGAGCUGGACAUGGCAGACAGAUGGGCCUUUGGGUUGUUGCCCUGGGGAGGGGCACAAUGUGUGUUUUAAUGUGUUGGGUAAAGUUGUUAAAUUUACUUGCCAGCAUCUUUUCUUGUUUUCACUGAAGGAAUAAAUACCUCCUGCUGAUGUAGUGAUUAAUCACUUGGUUCCAUAUUCUCCACUGCAGAGGUGCAUUCAUGACCCAGGCUGGCUCAUCAGAAUAUGUCAUCACCCUAGACAUAAUGACUGAUUCAUAGUCAAGCACCUGUC
Molecule: long non-coding RNA, 3444 nt
Organism: Camelus dromedarius (Arabian camel)
Lineage: Eukaryota; Metazoa; Chordata; Mammalia; Artiodactyla; Camelidae
Exons: 3
Source: RefSeq, a predicted model, not a curated record